GCGAGGGGAGCUUGGCAAGGUUGAGCAGUAGAUUGUGAAUCUAAAGGACGUGGGUUCGAAUCCYAUUCUUCGCC
This 74-nucleotide transfer RNA is filed under the name Corallina officinalis. RNAcentral's name for it is "tRNA-His". The record is from RNAcentral. Lineage: Eukaryota; Rhodophyta; Florideophyceae; Corallinales; Corallinaceae.